GCCUUUGCUGUCACCCCUGCCAAGCCCUACCAAACCCUGUCAGCCCCCACCAAGGCCCUCUCAAGCUUCACCAAGGCCUGUCAACCCCCUACCGAGACCUAUCAGCUCUAUAAUCUGAAAAAAGUGCAGUGUCUUAGGAGGGAUUGAUUAAGUAAACAGUGACUUAUGGCCAAAAUGGAACUAUAUGGAGAUUAAGUAGAGAUUAGAAUAGAAGCUGAAAUUGAGCAGGAUAGUUACAAUCACAGACUUCCAACUUGCUACUCCUUGGUGUGAAAGAAUCUGCAGGAAAUUAAGUACAUGGCAACUCCUGUUAGUCCCUCAUGUGUUCUUGAAAGCAGACUGACAGAUUCAGUGUGUGACAUGCUGACGUGGGGGAAGGCUGUCUGGUGGCUGCUCUAUGCUGUAGCUAACAAAAUGGUUGUGUUUCAAGUGUUGUCAUGCCUGGAAAGUCUACAGGUCAUCAUUACUAGUAUAAAUGUGUACUACAAUGGUGAAAUUUAGUGAAAAAAUGUGCUGUUUAUGUAUUGGCAGGGAAAGAUUUGUGCUCAUCAAGACAAUGAUAAAAAAAAUUUUUAUAUUAUUAUUAUUAUUACUAUUUUUUUUCUUUUACUUGUUUUGCUGUAAGAUGAGACUACAAUAACUGCCCCUUGAUGCCCUAUAAGGUACCGCCAAGCACCAAGGGGCGGCCACCACGGUGUACAGUGAAGCACGUCCCAGCAUCCCUGUCACCAUCUUUUCCCUGCCAAUAAUUAUGCAUUACAUUUCCCAACUAAUUUCAUUCUAGUACAACAUUUCUACUACUAAUGGUGGCCUGGUUAAUCUGUUAAGGGAGCACUUUGUUCAACAUCUUUAAAAUAUUAUUUGAUCAUCACCUGUAUCUCUCACCUGAUGAUAUAGAUAGGCUGGGUGUAGGUAACAACUUUCAACCUCUCCUCAGUGAUGGACAAUUCAGAGACAGUGAGGUCAGCUUCCCCUGACUGCAGAGCUCCUACCGUGCCCGUCCACUCGUUGCUUGAGCUGUCCUUCAGUUUCCCAGGGGCAGUCGGUCUGUACAUGCGUGAGGUGGCGAGGGGCGUGGCCAGGGGGCGGCUAGUAGCGUGUGCCACCAUGGAAAUAUGUACAGACAUAAAGAAGACGCCCUCAAGAAAGAGGGGCAGUCGGUCUGUACAUGCGUGAGGUGGCGAGGGGCGUGGCCAGGGGGCGGCUAGUAGCGUGUGCCACCAUGGAAAUAUGUACAGACAUAAAGAAGACGCCCUCAAGAAAGAGGGGCAGUCGGUCUGUACAUGCGUGAGGUGGCGAGGGGCGUGGCCAGGGGGCGGCUAGUAGCGUGUGCCACCAUGGAAAUAUGUACAGACAUAAAGAAGACGCCCUCAAGAAAGAGGGGCAGUCGGUCUGUACAUGCGUGAGGUGGCGAGGGGCGUGGCCAGGGGGCGGCUAGUAGCGUGUGCCACCAUGGAAAUAUGUACAGACAUAAAGAAGACGCCCUCAAGAAAGAGGGGCAGUCGGUCUGUACAUGCGUGAGGUGGCGAGGGGCGUGGCCAGGGGGCGGCUAGUAGCGUGUGCCACCAUGGAAAUAUGUACAGACAUAAAGAAGACGCCCUCAAGAAAGAGGGGCAGUCGGUCUGUACAUGCGUGAGGUGGCGAGGGGCGUGGCCAGGGGGCGGCUAGUAGCGUGUGCCACCAUGGAAAUAUGUACAGACAUAAAGAAGACGCCCUCAAGAAAGACUACCCCAUCCCCUGCCUCCCGCUGUGCCCCACCCAGACACCACGGCCCAGCAGUGACGCCAUUCCACCUGCUACACGACGCUGGCUGACGCACUCCAGACGUGGCAGCAACAGGAGGUGGAGGGCAGGAGCAAGAGUCGGAUGGAUGGCGAAGGAAGGCAUGAUGGCGGAGCUGGUGGCUUUGGAGGGUGUUCGUGCAGGGUACCUCGGCAGGGUCUAGAUUAGAGCAAAUGGAUGAUGAGAGACUAGUAAGGUGUUUGUGUGGAAUAUUAGGAGUAGCAGUUGGGGGAACAAGUGUGUUAGGAUGGUAAUAAAGAAUGGCUUGGAAACUAGUUGUUGGGCUUUUGAGGGGUUGAGUGAAGCCUUGUUGAGAGUGAUGGAAGUAGGAUUGUCAGAAAUGGAGAGGGCUUACAAUGUUAUGUAACUAAGUGGACAAGUGAGAUAGACAGAGUGAUCAAGCACAUGGGACUGAGUGAGCCAAGUGUGGAAAUUCUGGGAUGGAGUGAGCCAGGUGUGGAAAAGUGUGGAAAUUGUGGGAUUGAGUGAGCCAUGUGUGGAAAUUGUGUAGAAAAGUGUGGAAAUAGUGUGGAGAAGGUGUGGAAAAAAUGUGGAAAUUGUGGGGUUGAGUGAGCCAGGUGUGGACAAGUGAGAUAGACAGAGCGAUGAAGCAUGUGGGGUUGAGUGAGCCAGGUGUGUGCGUCACUUGGGGAUGACUGUGAGCUAACCUGGGACCAAUGGUUGAUGACGCUCACUGAUGGAAUUAGAAGCUGCAUGAAUUGUUUAUGUAGAUUUUAGAAGCUGUCUCAAUUGUUUGUGUAGAUCUGAAGCACUUACUUUGAAUUGAAGGCUUGGACCAUGUAAUAUCUUUGUAAUUCUUCUGUAUCUCUGUCAUAAGUUCCUUAGAUAACUCACUACUGUUUUUGUCUCUAUAUAAUAAUAUGUACAUUUACUCAAACUGCAUUUCCUUUCAGUGUGCAGGUUGGCAGUAAACCUCCCUGAAGGUUCCAGAACUGCUCACCAAGUGUCCAGCCCAGCCUGUCACAAGACUAUGUGACAGUGGACCUUCCACUCAUACUGAAAACAGCUGUGCACUGCCACUCACAGGAAGUGGUGACCACUCUAGAUUGAGUUGUCUUGAAGCUGAGAUGAGUUGGUCGGGUAAUGAGUGACUUGCAUCAAGUGACCGUGAGGUGUUGGACGUGAUAUUGUGUUAUUGCAAGUGUAACCAGUAAUAACAGCGUUCGACCGUUUCUCUAGGGGCAAGCGACACCUCCUGGUGGGGGACUUCAAAUCUGCUGUCGCUGCCUUCGAGGAGGCAACAGAGUCCCUGGUGGAGCUGUGUGGGGAGCAGGCGCCCGAGUGUGGUGACGCGUACUGCCGCUGUGGCCGUGCAUUGCUGGAGCUGGCACGCAAGGAGGCAGGGGUGCUGGGGCCAGAUCUGGAUGGUGCCAGUAGUCAGGAGGGAAGCACAGGGGAAGAGGAGGACGAGGAGGAAGAGAGUUAAGAGUCACAAGAGGAGGAGGAAGGUGGAAAGAAAGAGGAAGGAGAGGAGGAGGAGGAGGAGGAGGAAGAUGGAGAAGGAAAGGAGAAAGAUAAGAAGGAAGGAAAUGCUGCAGAAGGAGAAGAGCAAUAAGACAUUAGAAUUGACAGAGAAACCAGACAAGGGACUGCAUUUGAAGAAGCACAAGAACCAAGAAAUUACAUCAUUCAAUGAAAUGACAACAUAAUCUAAAAUAGAAAUAAAAAACGUCACAAGACAGAAUAGUGAGCUGCAUGCACUUAUCACAGAGUAUAAAGUCACUCCCUCAGAGGAAAAAGACAAGGAUGGCAUGUCUUCAUGUGAGAACUCAGAAGCUAAAUGUACAGAUACCAAGGGGAAAUUGCUGGGUCAAGUGGCUACACUGACAUCUGAGGUUAGCAGGUUGGAGAGUGAGUGCAGCAGUCUUCAGGUUCAGCUAGACUGUGAGAGGGAUAAGUAUAACAAACUGCUGGGAGAAUCUCUUGCUCAUGAAAAGUUGUCUGAAGAUGUCAUAACUGAACCAAAAGGAGAAACAACAGGAUUGGGAGGAACUGAGCUUUAACAGAAGCUGCAACAACUGCAGGAGGCUCACAGGGUCCUGGAGAGCAGGUUAACUUGCAGCAUGAAGGAGGUGGCUGAGCUAAGUGACAGGAAGUAGCAGCUUAAGCAUGCUGUAGUGCAUGAGGAGACAGAGUCCAUCGGUGUAUGCAUGUUUUUUGCUCAUUUGAAUCAUCUGUAAAAGUGAAGUGGAGGAAGUGUUUACUGUUUACUGUAUGCCAUUUCCUUGGUCUUUUAAUGAAGAAUUUUAUCCUUCUUCAGGUGACUACAUCACCAUCUACCAGUUGCAGCGAGGAGUGAUGAAGCAACAAGCUCGAGAACGCGAGUUAGACCUUGCCAGCCUCCAUCAUGAAUGAGAGGAAAUGAAGCAAAACCACUCUGCAGGAUUUGAUAUCAAAGCUGGUGCAGGAAAAGGAAGCAGAUCAUGACCUUCAGCAGCUCGAGAAGAUAAGCAGCGUCCUUAAGAGUCCAGUUGCUAUCUUUAGCAGUGUUGGAACCAGUGAGUCUGAGACACCCACCACCAGUGGAAAGGUGGCUGACGAGCGCCUCAAGCACUCUGAAAAGGUGGAGCAACAACAAGAAACAGAAAAUUGCAUCCAUCAUUCUUUGCCUGAGGAGGGAAUUGAUGCUCUGUUGACCCUUCACACUGAUGUCCCUCAUGAGGAGGGGAGAAUAUGAAUCCUACAGAACUUGCCCAUAGGAAGACCAAAACUGUUACUGCUGCCACACUGCCACCACUUCCACUGACACCAAAAGCCCAACUGUGCAGAGAAUCCUGGACCUCCGCAAUGAAAUGGAGUCCACCAGUCACCUGGAGCACUUUAGCCUCCAAAAGUUCCAUCCGUGUCCAUUGUGUUUGGGUAAACUUAUCACUGUAUAAGGGGACAAGUAUCAGUGUAUGGUUACUAUAUACUCAUUUGUACUUAAAGAUGUCAUGUCACAUCAUUCUCUCUCUCUCUCUCUCUCUCUCUCUCUCUCUCUCUCUCUCUCUCUCUCUCUCUCUCUCUCUCUCUCUCUCUCUCUCUCUCUCUCUCUCUCUCUCUCUCUCUCUCUCUCUCUCUCUCUCUCUCUCUCUUUCUUUCUUUCUUUCUUUCUUUCUUUCUUUUGUUGCAUAUGUUACUGCUUUACAUUCCUCCCCACAGUAUUUUUUCAUCUACUUUAUGACUGCAGUAGUUUUAUCAUCCCAGUGUAUGCUGUAUCCACUCUGAAACUGUAAUUCACCAAUCAGCUCAAAUGUGUCUCUGUUUUGAUAAUCAUUAAUUUGUUUCAGCUACACAACCACUCUGAUAAGGGACAAAAUCUACUUCACCAGUCAUCUAUGUCAUACAGUCAUAUAUAUUCAUACAUAUGACAAAAUACUCUUCCUAAGACAUUUCUUAUUUUCUCUUCUCAAGUGACCUGUCCAUCUAUCUAAGGUACCACAUAACAUUUAAAACUUACAAUAUUGUGUUUAAUUCAUGAACACUUUUUUGUCUAUCUAUGGAGACUUGCGUAUAGACUUGAAAUGUAUUGGGAGUUUUCUUUAUCUCUCAUUCUAUACCUAACACCUGUUCCUAAGAAUCCCCAGGUGAUAGCCAUGGUGACUGGCUGGUCUCCUACUGAGUGGCUGGGGUUUUCCAAAAGUGAGGGUUGGUGUUCCAUACCAUACCAUGUGCCCUGUUUGUAUUCCUUCUUUGUCCUCUGUAUUAUAUUCUAUGUAAAGAUGGUGCUGGGGUGGGAUCUACUUCUUAUUCCCUAAAAGUGAUGAGGAGUGACACUGGGCAGCAUUAAUUUGCUCCUUAGAGAUGGCUGGGUUCCUGUGGAUGAGUGGGCCAUGCUGUGCUUUGUCAAGGAUGGUGUUUGGUAUUGUGAUGACUCUUGCCACAAUCAAGUGCCUCCCACAGAGUAGUGGAGUACCUAUGUAUGGUGUUGACCCAAGCUGUCCAGGUCUCAUCCAAUGCCUUAAUAUGAUUUAGAUGAUCAAAAUGGUUUAACUCACCAUUUAAUCAGCUGACUGAUUUGAAUGGAGAAGUAUGUAAUGUGUUGUAGCCUAACCAUCCCUGCCAGCAUGGUCAGAUUCUUGGUAGUAACCUGAAAUGCUCCUAGGUAGUGAGUAUCAUUGCACAUAAUGAUCUUUACUUUGUCAGUAAUUCAAUGAUACUGAAUAUUACUCUACUGGAUUUUGCUCACCACUGCUUGGUAACUUUUGGCCAUAAUCCCAGGUCUGGAAUGAUAUGAAGCCAUGUUUUUACAUUCCAUAUGAGACAGGCAAGCACUAUGCUUUGCCUGACUGAUACCUGUACUUUACAUUUAUGACCCCAGGUAGUUCAUCAUCUCUCUCUCUCUCUCUCUCUCUCUCUCUCUCUGUUUGGAAUUAUACUGUAUAUUAGGAAAUAUCAUUAAAGAGUGUGUGUGUAAAAAGUGUUUGCAUUAUUGUGCAUUUGAUGUUAUAGCCCCAGGUUCUUAAAGUUUUCUAGUUUCAUGAUUUAUAAAGAUUGCUAUUUUUAAUAAAGUUAUUGAAAUUGUUA
This is an RNA transcript of Scylla paramamosain (green mud crab), 6309 nucleotides long. It is a transcript of the gene named nuclear autoantigenic sperm protein-like, with no coding region annotated. The transcript has 18 exons. Lineage: Eukaryota; Metazoa; Arthropoda; Malacostraca; Decapoda; Portunidae. The record is from RefSeq and is a predicted model, not a curated record.